Mesocricetus auratus (golden hamster) is the source of this 1055-nucleotide long non-coding RNA. RefSeq lists it as uncharacterized. The record is from RefSeq and is a predicted model, not a curated record. NCBI's taxonomy places the organism in Eukaryota, Metazoa, Chordata, Mammalia, Rodentia, Cricetidae. The transcript is spliced from 4 exons.
UUCAUGCCAUACACCUCCAGCAACCUGAGAACAAGCUAUGUCAACAUCCUCCCAUGCAGAGAGGGAGGCUUGAUUUCAUUGGUCUGCAGCACUAGUGGCUGGGCAGUGAAAAUAGCCCAUUAUUCACCGGACAUGAAGAGGAAUCCAUCCUGCUCCACAGUCCACAGAAGAAAACUAGCCAACUGUGAAUGCCCUGUGAAGCUGGACCUCAACUAAUGUGAACAACAACGUUCCUCCUUGGAUCAGGUUUCAAAGGUGGAAGCCAUACUGUGCAGUUAUGCUUGCUCUGCCUUUUCUGUGAGCAUCUACCCUUCUGGAACUCACACUGUGAAUCAAUCACUGGGAGGAGUUAAGGAGAACUCAGUUGCAUGGCUAGGCCUCUACUGUGAGGUCCCUGGAGAUGAGAUAAAGACAGAAGACCCUGGUCUAAGAAGGAGCUGUGCCUAUCUCCCAUGGCUUGUUCUUCUCCAUCUUCAUAUUUCUAUGACACACUACAGCAACAGCCAGAAUCCCCUGCAUCCUGUGGAGUGGCUUCAGUGUUGGUGAUAAUAACAUUAAGUGGUACCAGCAGAUGAUGCAGGGGAGUCCUCCUCGGUUUGUCCUGCAUUACUACUCAGCCUCAGACAGGCGUCUGGGGCGUCGCGUUUCCAUUACAUUCUCGGAAUCCUCAGAGCCCUCAAAACUGCUAAAAACUUACACACUUCUGAGCUACAGGUGGAGGGUGAGGCUGUUAUCUGGGAAAACAGUGUUUCUCACAUUGAAAUAGGCAGAUGGGGGAAGUAGGCAUAAAUAGUAGCUUCUGCUAAAAAAAUCAUUCCUGGUAGAAUGCUUAUAGGAGCCAAAGGAAGGAGAGAAGGAGGUUGCCAACAUCACUGUCAAAAUAUCAGUUUUCAAGAGAGGAGAGACCCAAAAUGUUGGUGCUGGCAAUGACAGAGCAGUAGGUCUCCCACAAAGGUGCCUCCACCGGAUCAGGGCAAGCUGGGUGUGAGCAUCCAGUAGGGUGAUUACUCUGAGGCACACCAGACUUACCUGAUAGUCUUCAGAUACAUAUCCAG